AGUCGAAGGUGAACCGGAGCUUGCUCUGUGGGAUCAGUGGCGAACGGGUGAGUAACACGUGAGCAACCUGCCCCUGACUCUGGGAUAAGCGCUGGAAACGGCGUCUAAUACUGGAUAUGUGACGUGACCGCAUGGUCUGCGUUUGGAAAGAUUUUUCGGUUGGGGAUGGGCUCGCGGCCUAUCAGCUUGUUGGUGAGGUAAUGGCUCACCAAGGCGUCGACGGGUAGCCGGCCUGAGAGGGUGACCGGCCACACUGGGACUGAGACACGGCCCAGACUCCUACGGGAGGCAGCAGUGGGGAAUAUUGCACAAUGGGCGAAAGCCUGAUGCAGCAACGCCGCGUGAGGGAUGACGGCCUUCGGGUUGUAAACCUCUUUUAGCAGGGAAGAAGCGAAAGUGACGGUACCUGCAGAAAAAGCGCCGGCUAACUACGUGCCAGCAGCCGCGGUAAUACGUAGGGCGCAAGCGUUAUCCGGAAUUAUUGGGCGUAAAGAGCUCGUAGGCGGUUUGUCGCGUCUGCUGUGAAAUCCCGAGGCUCAACCUCGGGCCUGCAGUGGGUACGGGCAGACUAGAGUGCGGUAGGGGAGAUUGGAAUUCCUGGUGUAGCGGUGGAAUGCGCAGAUAUCAGGAGGAACACCGAUGGCGAAGGCAGAUCUCUGGGCCGUAACUGACGCUGAGGAGCGAAAGGGUGGGGAGCAAACAGGCUUAGAUACCCUGGUAGUCCACCCCGUAAACGUUGGGAACUAGUUGUGGGGUCCAUUCCACGGAUUCCGUGACGCAGCUAACGCAUUAAGUUCCCCGCCUGGGGAGUACGGCCGCAAGGCUAAAACUCAAAGGAAUUGACGGGGACCCGCACAAGCGGCGGAGCAUGCGGAUUAAUUCGAUGCAACGCGAAGAACCUUACCAAGGCUUGACAUAUACGAGAACGGGCCAGAAAUGGUCAACUCUUUGGACACUCGUAAACAGGUGGUGCAUGGUUGUCGUCAGCUCGUGUCGUGAGAUGUUGGGUUAAGUCCCGCAACGAGCGCAACCCUCGUUCUAUGUUGCCAGCACGUAA
RNAcentral lists this ribosomal RNA (1057 nucleotides) under Microbacterium sp. ABO30. RNAcentral's name for it is "bacterial SSU rRNA". It matches the Rfam family "Bacterial small subunit ribosomal RNA", at positions 60 to 1128 of the family's 1533-position model. Lineage: Bacteria; Bacillati; Actinomycetota; Actinomycetes; Micrococcales; Microbacteriaceae. The record is from RNAcentral.